UACGUAGGGUGCGAGCGUUAAUCGGAAUUACUGGGCGUAAAGCGUGCGCAGGCGGUUUCUGAAGUCCGUUGUGAAAGCCCCGGGCUUAACCUGGGAAUGGCAGUGGAAACUAGGAGACUUGAAUCUGGCAGAGGGGGGUGGAAUGCCACGUGUAGCAGUGAAAUGCGUAGAGAUGUGGCGGAACACCGAUGGCGAAGGCAGCCCCCUGGGUCAAGAUUGACGCUCAGGCACGAAAGCGUGGGGAGCAAACAGG
Molecule: ribosomal RNA, 253 nt
Filed under: uncultured bacterium
Lineage: Bacteria
Also listed under: 1 other name
Description: partial 16S ribosomal RNA
Rfam family: Bacterial small subunit ribosomal RNA
Source: RNAcentral